Molecule: long non-coding RNA, 8426 nt
Filed under: Mytilus galloprovincialis (Mediterranean mussel)
Lineage: Eukaryota; Metazoa; Mollusca; Bivalvia; Mytilida; Mytilidae
Source: RNAcentral
AGAAAAUUUUCAUCACAUGUUUUGUAAGUAUAUUAUUAAAUGUACUAUAAUAGAAUAUAUUUUCUGCUUUAAAAGUAUCGCUCAAUUGAUAAUUUAGUCAAGUUGUAAAGCCACUUUUAAAUUACCUUUUACUUAUAUGGCGAAAUGGUAUUGUACAGGUUUGUAACAAAGACAAAAAACAGCACUGCUUAUAUAUAUAGCUUUUCCCAUCACUUGGCGUCCGUCGUCGUCGUCGUCCGUCGUCUGUCGUCCGUCGUCGUUAACUUUUACAAAAAUCUUCUCCUCUGAAACUACUGGGCCAAAUUAAACCAAACUUGGCCACAAUCAUCAUUGGGGUAUCUAGUUUAAAAAAUGUGUGGCGUGACCCGGCCAACCAACCAAGAUGGCCGCCAUGGCUAAAAUAGAACAUAGGGGUAAAAUGCAGUUUUUGGCUUAUAACUCAAAAACCGAAAAAUUUAGAGCAAAUCUGACAUGCGGUAAAAGUGUUUAUCAGGUCAAGAUCUAUCUGCCCUCAAAUUUUCAGAUGAAUCCGACAACCCGUUAUUGGGUUGCUGCCCCUGAACUGGUAAUUUUAGGGAAUUUUUUCUGUUUUUGGCUAUUAUCUUGAAUAUUAUUAUAAAUAGAGAAAAACUGUAAACAGCAAUAAUGUUCAGCAAAGUAAGAUCUACAAAUAAGUCAACAUGACCAAAAUGGUCAGUUGACCCCUUUAGGAGUUAUUGACCUUUAUAGUCAAUUUUUAACCAUUUUUCGUAAAUCUUAGUAAUCUUUUACAAAAAUCUUCUCCUCUGAAACUACUGGGCCAAAUUAAUCCAAACUUGGCCAAAAUCAUCUUUGGGAUAUAUAGUUUUAAAAAUGUGUGGUGUGACCCGGCCAACCAACCAAGAUGGCUGCCAUGGCUAAAAGUAGAACAUAGGGGUAAAAUGCAGUUUUUGGCUUAUAACUCAAAAACCAAAGCAUUUAGAGCAAAUCUGACAGCGAUAAAAGUGUUUAUCAGGUCAAGAUCUACCUGUCCUGAAAUUUUCAGAUGAAUCGGAUAACCUGUUAUUGGGUUGCUGCCCUGAAUUGGUAAUUUUAAGGAAAUUUUGCUGUUUUUGGUUAUUAUCUUGAAUAUUAUUAUAGAUAGAGAUAAACGAUAAACAGCAAUAAUGUUCAGCAAAGUAAGAUUUACAAAUAAGUCAGCAUGACCAAAAUGGUCAGUUGACCCCUGAAGGAGUUAUUGCCCUUUAUAGUCAAUUUUUAACCAUUUUUUCAUAAAUCUUAGUAAUCUUUUACAAAAAUCUUCUUCUCUGAAACUACUGGGCCAAAUUAAACUAAGCUUUGCCACAAUCAUCAUUGGGGUAAUUUGUUUAAAAAAUGUGUGGCGUGACCUGGCCAAUCAAUCAAAAUGGCUGCCACGGCUAAUAAUAGAACAUAGGGGUAAAAUGCAGUUUUUGGCUUAUAACUCAAAAACCGAAGCAUUAAGAGAAAAUCUGACAGGGUUUAAUUGUUUAUCAGGUAAAGAUCUAUCUGCCCUGAUGUUUUCACAUGGAUCGGACAACCCGUUGUUAGGUUACUGUCCUGAAUUGGUAAUUUUAAGGAAAUUUUGCCGUUUUGUGUUAUUAUCUUGAAUAUUAUUAUAGAUAGAGAUAAACUGUAUACAGCAAUAACGUUCAGCAAAAUAAGAUCUACAAAUAAGUUUUCAUGACCAAAAUAGUCAAUUGACCCCUUAAGGAGUUAUUGCCCUUUAUCAUGUUUUAUAGUUAAUUUUUAACAUUUUUCAUAAAUUUCUGUAAUUUUGUAGAAAAUAUUUUCCACUGUAAUUACUGGGCCAAGUUCAUUAUAGACAGAGAUAUUUGUAGCAACAAGAAUGUUCAGUAAAGUAAGAUCUACAAACACAUCACUAUCACCAAAACACAAUUAUGUCAUGAAUUUAUCCGUGUCCAUUAUUUAAUAUGCACAAGACCAAGGUGAGCGACACAGGCUCUUUAGAGCCUCUAGUUUACUUAUGUCAACUUUCCCAUGUUAAAGGUAGUUGACCAAAAAAAAAAUCCCCAAAGGCAGUUCAAAUUUUCUGAAGUUUUUGGACCACUUGAUUUGUAAAUGAUACACAUCACAUUUAAGGAAAAAAAGAAUUAUCCUUAUUGUCAUAUAGAUGUUAUAGAUGUAUGAUGUAAUUAGUGUCAGUAUUUAAGUCUCAUAUUUAAUAGAAAGUGAAUAUAUGUAACUGUUUUAUGUUGAUAAUAAAGUUGUGCACUUAGAGAAGAAUACAUAUCAUAGAUACCAGGAUUGAAAUUGUAUAUCUACACCAGACAUGCGUUUCGUCUACAAAAACUCAUCAGUGAUGCUCGAAUAAAAAAAUGUUAAAAAGGCCAAAUAGAGUACAAAGAUGAAGAGCAUUGAGGACCAAAAAUUCCUAAAAGUUUUGCCAAAUACAGCUAAGGUAAUCUAUUCCUGAGGUAGAAAAGCCUCAGUAUUUAAAAAAAAUUAAAGGUUAAGUUAACAGUUAAUUUAUAAUCAUGAGCAUAUCAAUGAAAACUUGAGUCAACACAGAAGUGCUGACUACUGGGCUGGUGAUACCCUCGGGGAAUUAAACUCCACCAGUAGUGGCAUCCACACAGUGGUUGUAAACAAACUCAUCAUAGAUACCAGGAUUGAAAUUGUAUAUUUACGCCAGACACACGUUUUGUCUACAAAAGACUCAUCAGUGACGCUCUAAUAAAGAAAUGUUAAAAAGGCCAAAUAGAGUACAAAGAUAAAGAGCAUUGAGGACCAAAAAUUCCUAAAAGUUUUGCCAAAUACAGCUAAGGUAAUCUAUUCCUGAGGUAGAAAAGCCUCAGUAUUUAAAAAAAUUCAAGGUUAGUUAACAGUUAAUUUAUAAUCAUGAGCAUAUCAAUGAAAACUUGAGUCAACACAGAAGUGCUGACUAUUGGGCUGGUGAUACCCUCGGGGAAUUAAACUCCACCAGCAGUGGCAUCCACCCAGUGGUUGUAAACAAACUCAUCAUAGAUACCAGGAUUGAAAUUGUAUAUGUACGCCAGACACACGUUUUGUCUACAAAAGACUAAUCAGUGACGCUCUAAUAAAAAAAUGUUAAAAAGGCCAAACAGAGUACAAAGAUGAAGAGCAUAUUGAGGACCAAAAAUUCCCUAAAAAUUUGCCAAAUACAGCUAAGGUAAUCUAUUCCAGAGGAAGAAAAGCCUCAGUAUUUAAAAAAAAUUCAAGGUUUAGUUAACAGUUAAUUUAUAAUCAUGAGCAUAUCAAUGAAAACUUGAGUCAACACAGAAGUGCUGACUAUUGGGCUGGUGAUACCCUCGGGGAAUUAAACUCUACCAGCAAUGGCAUCCACCCAGUGGUUGUAAAAAAACUCAUCAUAGAUACCAGGAUUGAAAUUGUAUAUUUACGCCAGACACCUGUUUUGUCUACAAAAGACUCAUCAGUGACGCUCUAAUAAAAAAAUGUUAAAAAGGCCAAAUAGAGUACAAAGAUGAAGAGCAUUGUGGACCAAAAAUUCCUAAAACUUUUGCCAAAUACAGCUAAGGUAAUCUAUUCCAGAGGUAGAAAAGCCUUAGUAUUUAAAAAAAAUUUAAGGUUUAGUUAACAGUUAAUUUAUAAUCAUGAGCAUAUCAAUAUUAAAUAACGCAAGUCAACACAGAAGUGGUGACUUACUGGACUGGUGAUAUUCUAUUUCUUAUAGUGUGUCAGUGUAUAUUUACAGUCCAGUCCUAUCCACCAGAGCGAGUAGUGUAUUUAAUUCUUAAUGUAUACCUGAUAGCUACAGGCAGGGGUUUUACCGUUGUAUAUACUGAUUUCUUAUUCUCUCUGUUUUAAGCUGUGUUGUCACAGUUAAAGAUUCCAUGUUUAGAUGGCGAUAGGAAGGAAGCAAAGCAGGUAUAUCAAGACAACUUAUCAGUUUACACUACAAACUUACUGGGUAGACCACUGGAAAAAAUUCAGGUACUUAUAUACUGUGAACCAACUUUUUGUCGUGGAUACUUUAUUUUGUGUAAAGCCCUUUUUAGUCCGAUUUGAUAUCAUGAUAUUCAAAUUUACUUGAUGUAGUUAAAUAAGGAAACAACACCCACAAAUAUUUACAUUUGAAAUAGGUAUCGGGUGUUGGGUCAAAUUUAUAAAUUUCCAAUGAUAGGGCCAAUGUUUACAUAAUUAUGAAAUGAACGACUUAAGUUAUGAACAGCAAUCAGGAGAAUGUAAAUUAUAUCUUGUCAAUAUAUCCAGGGAUACUGUUUUGUACUUAAAAUACUAGGAUGAACAACACUUAUUUUAAAUUUAUUGGCACUUUUGUUCUUAAUUAAAAGAUAACUGUCUUGUUUACCUUCAUCUAUUGAUGCUCAACUAAAUUCAUGUAUGAAAAUGUUAAAUAUAUAGAUAUGAAAUAGGAUUAAUUGAUAGUUAUCUUUCAGAUAAUCAUUUUUAAUUAAAAAUAAAAGAUUUAGGUGAAUUGAGAAAUAAAAAUUGAAUACAAAGGAGUAGGGCUAUAAUGGCCUAAAAUGGCCCCAGAUUUACAAGAUAAUAAAAAUUCGAACAGAGCAGAUUUUUCUCCAUAAAUUAUUAGAAUAUGAGUCAAUGAUUUAAAAAAAAUGUUUUUAUCUAACAAAAAAAUGUUCAAUGACGUCACAAUGGUAGGUGCAAAUGACGUCAUAAUUGAGAAAAUAAGCAAAAAUACAGAAAUUUGGAUGGUUUUUCCAAAUUUUGACCACCGCACCAUGCUUGCACCAAUUAGAAAUUUUAACAUUUUGACAAGUUCAUACAUAUCAAACUUCAGAUAAAAUAUUUUUUUGGUGCAAGGUUGGUGCGAUAGUUUAUUUUAUAUUUUUCAUACCCAAUCGGAGCAAUAAAAAGCUUAAAUAUGCCGUUCAAAUUGGACAUAUUCAUCUGACAAAGUUUAGUUUAUACAUUCUUAUGCCUAUAGGAACUUUAUUUUUUUGGUUAUGAAUGUAACAUGUAUUCCUAAUAUUAUUUCCAUAAGUAUAUCUCGGUAAAUGUCUUUAAAAAAUCCGAAAGCAAUAAACUACACGUGUAAGGGAGUCAAUAACAACUUUGAGAACAUUUUUUUUUAAUUGUGAAAUUUUAGAUAUAGACCAAUAUAUAACAACAUCUGUACAUUUCUUAUGUUUCUGCUUAUUAUCAAUUCAAAAUCUAAUGUUUGAAUGGGGCAAUCUUCACUCUCUGUUAUUAGGGUCGGAUCCAUGAUUUAUGUUAGGAAAAGGGGGGGGGGGGCAAAUUAAAAAGAUUAUUAUGCUUAAAUUCACAUAAUUGGCAAGAAAUACGAAAUUUAUUUUGAAAAUGAAACUACCUAUAUUCCAAUUGCAUGUGUCUUUGUUAGUAAUGCGCAUAAAGUUCUAGAAAAUUUGAUGGUAAGAGAACAGAAACGGCAUAUGGUAGACUAUGAAUUUUUACACAUAUCAAUAUUUUGCAGGUAUUUUUUGAAGGAGUAGAAAGUAAAAUUGCCUCAGGUGUCAAACCUGAAGAAGUCGGAUACCAGUUAGCAUUCAGUAAACAGGAACUAAGAAAAGUUAUCAAGGAAUAUUCUGGAAAAGAGGUAAGGAGACGAGUCAGGAAAUAGAAAUUAUUCUUGAAAUUAUAAAGUGAUAUGAUAACUGUAGUAAAAGUAGCAAUAUUCCUCAACCUCAUCUUCAAUACAGAAUUAUAUUUCUAGCUUAAGAAGUUUUUGCAUGUUAUUCUUUAAACAAUGUAGAUAGCAGAAAGUCAAGAUGUCUGUAGGUAUACUGUUUGGAUUAUAAAUAUGAGAAAAUUGUUUUAAAGGCAAAACUGAAUAUCAAGUUGUGUCCAAAUCUUAUUACAGGUAUCUAGGACUAGUUUAAACUAACUAUUUUAAAUUUAAAAAUAUCUAGAAAUCCGGAAUAUACCAGUCAAUCAUCGGUUUGAGAUUUAAUAAAACAGUCUAUAGUUAUCAUACGCAUAUGGAGUUAAAAAUGCUUACUGUACACACCUAAAGACAGUAAUCCAUGACAUUAGUCUUUAGAUAAAAGGUUGAGGUUUAGUACAUAUGAAAUUGCUUGUAAUUUCUUAGAGGGUGUUUGAAUUUAAACAUUAAUUUACAGAUACAAAUUAUUUUCUAGGUGAAGAAAGGCUUGGACCAUGUUUACAAAAAAGUAGAAAAACAUUUGUGUGAAGAAGAAAAUUUGUUACAGGUAACAGAUAGAUAGUUAAUAAAGGCAACAGUAGUGUACCGAUGUUCAAAAGUCAUAAAUCAAUUUAGAAGAAAAAAAUCUGGGUUACAAACCAAAACAGAGAGAAAUUUUAAAAUUCAGAUAUUCAAUACACUGGUAAUAAAGGGGCACUAUAUACGAGAUACAUAAAGAAUUUAAAUUAUGAUGUGUUUUGGUUCAAUCAUUAAUGAAAGUAAACUAGUGAAAUGAUAAUUUGCUUGUAGCAGCCAGUAUGAUUCAAUUUUUUUCCAAAUAAGCUAGAAAACAUUGAUGAUUAAUUAUUCACUUGCCAGUGAAUAAUUUGACCUCAUUGAAUCCGUAUUCAUGUCAACUUCAACUUUAGUUAGAGAUGGAUUACACAUGAUUUAUACGUGUUCGAUUAUUAUAAAAGAAAAGAAUUUCAACAUUGAAAGGGAAACAAAGCUAAAUAAUUAGAUUGACUGAUUUGAUCCACUAAAAAUUCAUUCUUUACUGAGAAAAUAGAAAAUUAACUUAUUUUUUAACCUAUAAUGUGAAUUCAAACAGGCAUAGGAAAAUCCAUUUGCAUGAGGUCCAUAUCUAUUUAUGAAUAUGUUUUUGUUUCUAUCGUGUUAUGUGACUAUUGGUAGUUUUCGGGUGAUCUUGAUAUUAAAUAAGAUUGCGUCUAGACUGAAAUACACACGAAAUUCUGAUAUAUAUAUUAUCUAACAUAUGCAUAGUUUACUGUUUAUUUAAGACUUAUUAUAAUAUGGAUAUGUGUUUUAGUAUGGCAUUAAUCAAAUAUGAAAAUUUGAAUGAAAUGGGUGAACAUGAUUUUGACAGCUAGUGCCUUAAUAAGACUGACAAGGCAACAAAAGGGUGAAAUCCAUGACAAAUUAACUUAUUAACAAAAUUAAUACCUUAUUGGUGACUAAAAAUGGUAAAAAACAAGGAUGAGAUAAAAAUUCACAAAAAGUUUUCUUUACAUAAUAAAUUUUUGUUGAAUAUAAGUAAAUAAAUGUAAGGUUGGCAAAGCAACAAAGACAAUCACAAAAAUCACAAAAACAUUCAAAAAUAUUUUAAAGAAAUAGUAAAAUACAUUGUAAUUAUAGGUCUUAUGUAUAAAGAUUGUCAAGGCAAAUAAUAGGGAGAACUAUGACAAUUGAUUAAUUAACAAAACACAAAUAAUCUGUAAAGAAAUAAAAAAAAAAACCAAUGGCUAUGACAUUUAAAAAUCUUAACUGCAGAAGGAGUAAGAAAAGUGAUUAGAAGCCAAACAUGCAAAUCAAAUGAGGAGGGAACAAAACAAUCAUUAGGAAUGUGGAAUACAAAUUCUUUUGUUUAUUCAACCUGCUUAUAAUAUUCACCUCUUUUAUGAAUUAUAUCAAAUAUUCACAACAAAUUUAAGAUCUUCAAGAACAAAUAGGACAGAACAUUAUUUAUACAUAGAAAACAGCACUAAAAAGCUUAGGCAACACAGGGUCAUGACAAAACCUAGGUAUAAGUUUUAAAUAUAUUUAUGGUUUAACUCUUAAUGAGGGAUGGUGAAUCACAUUGGAUAGAACAUAUUGUAAAAUAUUAUGAUAAUAUAACAUAUUAUCUAACAUAAAUGGUGUGAUAAUAUAGCCAGUGCGACAGAUGUUAACCAAUGACCAAAAGAUUUUAAAUGAUGUAUUUUUGUUUUUGGUCCUUUCGACCAGUAUACAUAGUUUAAUAAAAAAUAAAAAUUUUCUGUUUCUACAUAUAUCAAUGCAGAGAUAGUCACCUUUUUUAUAUAAAUUCUAAUGAAAUGAGUAGAUUUAGACACUAUCUAUUCAGGCGUAUGUUUAACUUUCUCAAUUGGCUCAAUAUUUAGAAUUCCAGUCCAAUUUGUUUUGUGAACAAGGUUUCAAAGGGUCUUUUUUCUUUUCUGAAAUGAUUACAAAUUCUAAGUUUAUUUAAGUUUCAUUUGGAAAUGUUAAAAAUGCCAUAUGAAUCCUCACAUAUAAAUCUUUUUUCUAUUGUAGGUAGUAUGGUUUUCAAUGCAGGAGGAGUUUAUCAAACAAAUCAAACAUUAUGAGGACCUUAUAAAUAAAUGUUAUCCAGAUUCUGGUAUAUCAUUAUCAUUUAGUGUUACUGAUGUUCUUCAAUUCUUCUCUGAAAUAGCUCAGGCCCACUGAGAGGUCAGUUACAGAGAAAUACAAAGGCAAGAGAUUCAAAGACUGAGAGAGUAUGGACAUUUAUAUAAAUAAGUGCUUUAAAUCGUUUCUUAUAGUUUGCCUUCAUGCAUCUGAUAAAACAGUUGUUAUAAUAUGUGAGGGA